CCUACGGGUGGCAGCAGUGGGGAAUAUUGCACAAUGGGGGAAACCCUGAUGCAGCGACGCCGCGUGAGUGAAGAAGUACCUCGGUACGUAAAGCUCUAUCAGCCGGGAAGAAAAUGACGGUACCUGACUAAGAAGCCCCGGCUAACUACGUGCAAGCAGCCGCGGUAAUACGUAGGGGGCAAGCGUUAUCCGGCUUUACUGGUUGUAAAGGGAGCGUAGACGGGAGCACAAGUCUGGAGUGAAAUCCCGGGGCUUAACCCCGGAGCUGCUUUGGAAACUGUGCGGCUGGAGUGCAGGAGGGGUAAGCGGAAUGCCUAGUGUAGCGGUGAAAUGCGUAGAUAUUAGGAGGAACACCGGUGGCGAAGGCGGCUUACUGGACUGUAACUGACGUUGAGGCUCGAAAGCGUGGGGAGCAAACAGGAUUAGAUACCCCGGUAGUC
Molecule: ribosomal RNA, 440 nt
Filed under: uncultured bacterium
Lineage: Bacteria
Description: partial 16S ribosomal RNA
Rfam family: Bacterial small subunit ribosomal RNA
Source: RNAcentral